RNAcentral lists this ribosomal RNA (800 nucleotides) under uncultured bacterium. RNAcentral's name for it is "bacterial SSU rRNA". It matches the Rfam family "Bacterial small subunit ribosomal RNA", at positions 8 to 798 of the family's 1533-position model. The record is from RNAcentral.
AGAGUUUGAUCAUGGCUCAGAUUGAACGCUGGCGGCAGGCCUAACACAUGCAAGUCGAACGCUAACAGAAAGCAGCUUGCUGCUUUGCUGACGAGUGGCGGACGGGUGAGUAAUGUCUGGGAAACUGCCUGAUGGAGGGGGAUAACUACUGGAAACGGUAGCUAAUACCGCAUAACGUCGCAAGACCAAAGAGGGGGACCUUCGGGCCUCUUGCCAUCGGAUGUGCCCAGAUGGGAUUAGCUAGUAGGUGGGGUAAAGGCUCACCUAGGCGACGAUCCCUAGCUGGUCUGAGAGGAUGACCAGCCACACUGGAACUGAGACACGGUCCAGACUCCUACGGGAGGCAGCAGUGGGGAAUAUUGCACAAUGGGCGCAAGCCUGAUGCAGCCAUGCCGCGUGUAUGAAGAAGGCCUUCGGGUUGUAAAGUACUUUCAGCGGGGAGGAAGGGAGUAAAGUUAAUACCUUUGCUCAUUGACGUUACCCGCAGAAGAAGCACCGGCUAACUCCGUGCCAGCAGCCGCGGUAAUACGGAGGGUGCAAGCGUUAAUCGGAAUUACUGGGCGUAAAGCGCACGCAGGCGGUUUGUUAAGUCAGAUGUGAAAUCCCCGGGCUCAACCUGGGAACUGCAUCUGAUGCUGGCAAGCUUGAGUCUCGUAGAGGGGGGUAGAAUUCCAGGUGUAGCGGUGAAAUGCGUAGAGAUCUGGAGGAAUACCGGUGGCGAAGGCGGCCCCCUGGACGAAGACUGACGCUCAUGUGCGAAAGCGUGGGAGCAAACAGGAUUAGAUUACCUGGUAGUCCAC